GGAGGAGGUGUGGGGAGGAGAGAGCCCUUUCUGAUUAAUAACUAGCAGGGUAAUGUUGAGGGCUUUUUCUGCCCGAUUGCCUUUUUGAAUUAGAGCCGAUUUCUUCACACUUCAAUAGUGCCUGUCUCCUUUAAAAUGACUGGCAGAUUUGUUUCUCUUUUUUUUCUCUCCCUGAGACUUAAUGAUGUAAAUUUUCUAAUUAGUUAAAUCAUAUUGCUUAAAGGCCUAAUAUUUACCACGUAAGAGACGAUCAUCCUGUUUUGGACCUCUUGAAAUAUUCUAAGAAAUAACAUUUGGCUUUUAGGUUGAGGGCUGAAGAGGAGAAAGCUCUAUUACGGGAAGCCGUUUAGAGAAGAGAAGGCACGGACCCAGCAACAUGUUAAAUUAAUAGUUGAAGUUGAGCUGGGCUCACACCCCAAGUCCGCUUUUAUUUUUCAAUCAGUGAAGAUUUAAUUGGCAGCCCUCAGGCUGGGCGAUCUGAUAUUUUCUCAUUAGUUUCCCAUCACUAAUCUUGAGUGUUAGAUUGGCCUAAAGGUUGUCAACAUUUGACCAAUUUUAUUUAAGGGGGAAAAAAUCAUGCAUUAUGGCUCCUGGACCUGAGAUCUGCAAAUAAAUCCUGCUUGGAUCAGCGGAACUAACAGGCGAAAAAAAUGUUGACUAUUCAUCGUCGCAUUUAAGAAGUUGCAUUAAUGUAUAUUUCAAGGCUAGAGAGAGAUUAUACAUGUGCUGCGUAGAUGCAGAUGAAAAGAAAGAGGUGAACGGAGAAAGGGAUGCACUAUUAAGCGGGAUGGGUAGGUAAGGUGAGACGUAGAUGCAUUUCGAACCCAGGGUAAAUAACCCAAGUGGAAUAGCUGUUGAGGAUUUAGGAGCUACAAUCCCCCCUCCCUUUCCUUUUGCAGCUGCGUGAAACUGCUAAGCCUGUCUUGCAAGCUCAGAGUGGCUCUGCUGUCUAGUCCAGAGCUAACAUCAGAGCGCCCCCUGCUGGCCAGUACAGCAGAACGCUGCGGGUCAGCCCCCUGUAAAGCGAAUCAUGUUUUUCUGCGCACCCCACCUUUCACUGACUCCUUCCACUGCCCCCACGUCCAUUCUCCAGCAAAACCCCGCGGCAGAGGAAUAGCUUGUCAAGGACUGAACAUUUAAACGAAUUAGUGGUAAAAAUAAUAAAAUGCGAAAGAACCCCCCCCCAACCUUCACAUGGCCUCUGGGGAAUAAACCAUCAAAAGCCUUAGUAAAGGGACACAUUUCCUUUUCCUACAUCUCUUUAUUCUCUGGGUUUUCGCUAUAGUUUGUUUUUCCUGCCGACCUGCAGAUUCUGAGUCCAAGGAAAUGUUUUUCAUAGAUUCUGUAGACGUUUAAAAAAAUGGAUAUCUAAUGGGGAAAGAGGCCAAAUACAAAGCAAAGCAAUAUUUUGCGUCCUCACAAAAUUAAACUCACAGGAAACUCGCACUGUUUGAGAAAAGUAUUGAGGAAUAGCUUGCGGAAUUCAGAGGGUUCCUUGUCCAGAAUGAUGACCCUUUGCUGCAACGCAAAGCAAUACCAGAACCUCUCCCAAUCUUUUUAUUUUUUUAAGCAGAAAACGUGUUGAAAAGUUGUCACCGCAGCUGACCACACACACACACACACACACACACACACACACACACACGUCUUUUCCACUCGUGUCUAUUCUUUUUAGGGUCGUAUUUCUUAAUUUUGCUGGAGACGGAAAGGGUAGCUGACGUGCACCAAGAUAAACCGCCGAUGUCUUUGACAUUUGAUCUUCCUAUAGUGUUUCUCCUCCAAUGCAAGAAUCCCUGUGUGUCACCCCUUCUCCAACCCCCACCACCAUCUUUGGCGACGCUCCGGGAGGCGACAGGGACCUGGCGACUCCAUAGAUCCAGCGCUUCUAGGGCAAGGCAGAGGUGGGAGACAGCCCGGGUCUUCAGGUCAGUGAAGUGAUGCCUCAGUCUGAUAGUGUCUGAAGAAUUGCUGGGGCCAUUGUGGCAACUGAGGGCAAAGAAGUGAGAACAGAAGCAAGAAAAAGUGUUGCACAAACUCUUGGAAUUGUUACUGUUGAAAGGCUGCAUUUCGCUUCUGAUUUCCUCAUCUUUUGCUACAAAGAAAAAAGAAAUCCAAUGAUGUGUCUGCAUUUGAUGAGAAGAAAACACUAACAACAGCAGUGUAGGUUCGAAAGUCAUUGCGCGGAGAGGGCAGGAGUGAAUUAAGGCCCCGGGGACAGCGGACGCCGGGCCAGGAGACCGCCUGAAAUAUGAGCCGAACCUGUUUUGUGAGAUGCACUUGGGUUUGGGGGUCAGGGUCGAAGGCUUCAAAGCCCUUGGUCUGCACGUGUGAAAAAUCUCUCCCUCCCUCCCGCCCCUCCUCUUCCUCUUUCUCCCUGUUCCCCUUUC
Molecule: long non-coding RNA, 2387 nt
Organism: Callithrix jacchus (white-tufted-ear marmoset)
Lineage: Eukaryota; Metazoa; Chordata; Mammalia; Primates; Cebidae
Source: RefSeq, a predicted model, not a curated record